CCUACGGGUGGCAGCAGUGGGGAAUAUUGCGCAAUGGGCGAAAGCCUGACGCAGCGACGCCGCGUGAGGGAUGAAGGUCUUCGGAUCGUAAACCUCUGUCAGCAGGGAAGAACGGUCACUGUGCUAAUCAGCAGUGAAUUGACGGUACCUGCAAAGGAAGCACCGGCUAACUCCGUGCCAGCAGUCGCGGUAAUACGGAGGGUGCGAGCGUUAAUCGGAAUUACUGGGCGUAAAGCGCUCGUAGGCGGUAUGUCAAGUCAAGGGUGAAAUCCCCGCGCUCAACGUGGGAACUGCCUUGGAAACGGGGAAACGGGAGGGUGUGAGGGGAUAGUGGAAUGCCAGGUGUAGGAGUGAAAGCCGUAGAUAUCGGGAGGAACACCAGGGGCGAAGGCGACUAUCUGGCACAUAACUGACGCUGAGGCGCGAAAGCGUGGGUAGCAAACAGGAUUAGAUACCCUGGUAGUC
RNAcentral lists this ribosomal RNA (465 nucleotides) under uncultured bacterium. Its description in RNAcentral is "partial 16S ribosomal RNA". It matches the Rfam family "Bacterial small subunit ribosomal RNA", at positions 338 to 795 of the family's 1533-position model. The record is from RNAcentral.